Molecule: long non-coding RNA, 1016 nt
Filed under: Mus musculus (house mouse)
Lineage: Eukaryota; Metazoa; Chordata; Mammalia; Rodentia; Muridae
Description: Maenli transcript variant 1
Source: RNAcentral
GGCUGUUUCCUGUGUAGGCUCUGGUUAUGCUAAUACUAGGGAUAACGAAGAGAUGGGCCCUGGGAUCUCCUCCAGAACAGACAGAGUCUGGUGCAAUAUCUUUCUUUCUCAUCCAGUGACUUCAAAUGGAGAAUUAUUGAGAAUCUGUCCACGUGGGAUGUUAACCAGGGCCACCUAGCAGCAAAUGCCCAGGCUGCUUCCAGGACUGAUAUUAUGAAGCUUACAGCAGAGCGACUUGCCAUCAGGAAGGCUCCUGUCUGCCAAGACGCCAGCACGCCCUGCCACCAGCAAUAAUUGCCAACAAGAAUAGCAGACCGUGUAAGAUAAGAAAGAUUGUAAGCUGUUCAGCCAACUAGAAUCGUCUGUGCUAAUGACUGGCAGGCAUCACAGGUUCCUUAUUUCAUGGGACAACCAUCAGAAGCACCAUCUCAGAUGUGCUUGCCAUGAGGAUCAAAUGAGAUGCCAUGAGAAGAUGACACAAGACGUCCAAGCUCUGGGAAGCUGCUGUGAAAUCCAUACAGGGACAGGGAAGCUGUCAGAGGGAAUUUGGGGGCUAAUACUAGCCAGAAGCCAUACAGUGUAAAAGGAUGCUCUGACAGGCAGCUGACAGUGAGCAGCUCUGCACGGGGACGUUAGUUAAGAGGGCUUGUGGACUUAUAUUUUGUUUCAUCUGUGGAGGGAGGGGUAUGUAUGUGUGAGAGCAAGCAUGUGUGUGCUGCAGGAUGCUAAGGGCAGAGGACAGCCUCGGGUGUCAACAGUCUCCUUUCACUGUCUCUGAGACAGGGUCUCUGCUGUUUGCCUGUUUGCACAGGCACCAGGGUAACUGGGAGCUACGGGGAAUUCUCUCAUCUGCACUUCCCACCCAUCCCUCCACAGAAGCACCGAGAGUGCAGAGGUGUGUACUAUCUCAUGAGGUUCACAACGGGUUCUAGGGACCUAAUGUCAUGUCCUCAUGCUUGCAUGGCAAGGGCUUUACCUAUCUCCGGAGCCCUUGAAGCAUAUAUUUUAAUUGUUAC